Penaeus monodon (black tiger shrimp) is the source of this 464-nucleotide long non-coding RNA. RefSeq lists it as uncharacterized. The record is from RefSeq and is a predicted model, not a curated record. NCBI's taxonomy places the organism in Eukaryota, Metazoa, Arthropoda, Malacostraca, Decapoda, Penaeidae. The transcript is spliced from 2 exons.
UGGAAAAUAUUGACUACAACCGAUACCCAAAUGAAGAGUUCCAACGAAACUGGAUAAGGAGCUACCUUUCCCACUACAAGAAUGUAUCACCAGAGAAAGUGGAAGAGAGUCAGAUCAGCCAGUGGUAUGUCUGGGUGAACAAGUUUGCCCUUGCGUCUCAUGUCUUCUGGGGGGUAUGGGCUCUGCUGCAAGCAUGCCACUCCUCUAUUGACUUUGACUUUUUCGGUUAUGCUCUGAUCCGGCUGGAUGAAUACACAAAGAGAAAGGAGGAGUGUCUGGCGCUUAUGGGUGAAGGAUCUUAACUGCAAUAAAUAAAGUGUAUGUUGUUUUAGGAUACAUUUUUAGAUGAGUAAUGUCAAGAUUCAUAAUGAAUGCAUACAGUAUAUACUGUACUUAAUUAUGUUUGAGUAAUUACCUGUUUUGGAAACUGUCUCAGGUGCUGCUACUUUUAUACAUUUUGGAUU